AACGAACGCUGGCGGCAUGCCUAACACAUGCAAGUCGAACGAGACCUUCGGGUCUAGUGGCGCACGGGUGCGUAACGCGUGGAAACCUGCCCUUAGGUUCGGAAUAACUCCCCGAAAGGGGUGCUAAUACCGGAUAAUGUCUUCGGACCAAAGAUUUAUCGCCUUUGGAUGGGCCCGCGUUGGAUUAGCUAGUUGGUAGGGUAAAAGCCUACCAAGGCGACGAUCCAUAGCUGGUCUGAGAGGAUGAUCAGCCACACUGGGACUGAGACACGGCCCAGACCCCGGCGGGGGGCGGAAGGGGGGAAUAUGGAAAAGGGGGGAAAGGCGGAACCCGCCAGUGCCGGGUAAGUGGGGAGGGCCUGAGGGUUAAAAGGCUUUUUUACCGGGGAUGAUAAGAACGUACCCGGGAAAAAAGGCCCGGCCAAACUCGGG
RNAcentral lists this ribosomal RNA (432 nucleotides) under uncultured bacterium. RNAcentral's name for it is "partial 16S ribosomal RNA". It matches the Rfam family "Bacterial small subunit ribosomal RNA", at positions 29 to 507 of the family's 1533-position model. The record is from RNAcentral.